ACGAAGGGGGCUAGCGUUGUUCGGAAUCACUGGGCGUAAAGCGCACGUAGGCGGACUUUCAAGUCAGGGGUGAAAUCCCGGGGCUCAACCUCGGAAUUGCCUUUGAUACUGUAGGUCUCGAGUCCGGAAGAGGUGGGUGGAAUUCCUAGUGUAGAGGUGAAAUUCGUAGAUAUCAGGAGGAACACCGGUGGCGAAGGCGCUCAUCUGGCCCAAUACUGACGCUGAGGCGCGAAAGCUAGGGGAGCAAACGGGA
RNAcentral lists this ribosomal RNA (253 nucleotides) under uncultured prokaryote. RNAcentral describes it as "partial 16S ribosomal RNA". It matches the Rfam family "Bacterial small subunit ribosomal RNA", at positions 525 to 777 of the family's 1533-position model. The record is from RNAcentral.